GGAGAAAUGGCAGAGUGGUCGAUUGCGGCGAUCUCGAAAGUCGUUUUAGUCUUGGCUAACGAGGGUUCGAAUCCCUCUUUCUCC
This 84-nucleotide transfer RNA is filed under the name Mesotaenium endlicherianum. Its description in RNAcentral is "tRNA-Ser". It matches the Rfam family "tRNA". Rfam says of the family: Transfer RNA (tRNA) molecules are approximately 80 nucleotides in length. Their secondary structure includes four short double-helical elements and three loops (D, anti-codon, and T loops). Further hydrogen bonds mediate the characteristic L-shaped molecular structure. tRNAs have two regions of fundamental functional importance: the anti-codon, which is responsible for specific mRNA codon recognition, and the 3' end, to which the tRNAs corresponding amino acid is attached (by aminoacyl-tRNA synthetases). tRNAs cope with the degeneracy of the genetic code in two manners: having more than one tRNA (with a specific anti-codon) for a particular amino acid; and 'wobble' base-pairing, i.e. permitting non-standard base-pairing at the 3rd anti-codon position. The record is from RNAcentral. Lineage: Eukaryota; Viridiplantae; Streptophyta; Zygnematophyceae; Zygnematales; Mesotaeniaceae.